This 3230-nucleotide small RNA is filed under the name Pan troglodytes (chimpanzee). Its description in RNAcentral is "retained intron". Lineage: Eukaryota; Metazoa; Chordata; Mammalia; Primates; Hominidae. The record is from RNAcentral.
CAUUUUAGAUGCCUCCUGGCCUCCCCUUCCCAGGAGCACAGCUAUGACCUUAGGUACUCCUUCCGAAAAGAACUUGUUUAACUAAAGGCAAGUGUACCUCAUCCUCACCAUGGCCUCCUUCCACCGGGGAAGCAGAUAGCGCAGAAAAAAGAACACACCCAUUCCCCACAUACCUUCACACUCGUCACAUACCUGCUACGUGAGAUGUGCAAAGCUGAAUGCAGGGAAUGCUCAGUGGUUACAUAACAGUGCCACUAAAGGCAAUUGUUUUCAGUGAUUUCCAUCGAGCUGGGUUCUGCAAAGACCCACAGCACUUUCCGGUUGCAUGCUGGGCACUUUUGGAAGCUGCAGUCAAUUCUGGAGGCCACCAGGGCACCAUUAGCACAUAGCAGCAAUUAUUGACUAAAUGGUGCUCUGGUUCCAUGCCUUCCAAGGGGGCCCACUUAGAGGCAGGGUGGAGUUGCUUAGGGCCUUUUUUUUUUUUUUUUUUGUAGACGGAGUUUUGCUCUUGUUGCCCAAGCUGGAGUGCAAUGGUGCGAUCUUCGCUUACUGCAACCUCUGCUUCCUGGGUUCAAGUGAUUCCCCUGCCUCAGCCUCCCGAGUAGCAGGGAUUACAGGUGCGUGCUACCAUGCCAGGCUAAUUUUUUGUAUCUUUAGUAGAGACAGGAGUUUCACCAUGUUGGCCAGGCUAGUCUUAAACUCCUGACCUCAUGAUCUGCCUGGCUUGACCUCCCAAAGUGUUGGGAUUACAGGCGUGAGCCAUUGCACCUGGCCAGGGUGUGUCUUAUUGAAAUUGAACAAAAUACCUAACUUCUAGAGAGUAUAAGAGAAGUUUAAAAUGCUUUAUGGAUGUGUUGUUUUGACAGCAAAAUAUCUACUCAGAAUCCUAUAGCUAUUUCAAAAUCCAAGUAACUUAGAAAAAAAGGAAAAAGAAAACCUAUAUAGUCAAAUCUUUUGGUGAUUUUGUAUUCAAUGACUGAAACUUCCCAGUGAUUAUUGGGCUUUUUAGCUGGAAUUGAACUUGAAUCGGGGCAGAGCAGCACAAUGCUUCAGAACUUCAGCAACUCUGAGCCCUGGUUCUGCAAUGACCUGCCAAGUAGCUUUAGUCUACUUGACUGCUCUGAACCUUAAUUUUCUCACCUGUAUGGGAAUCAUAGACUCUACUUUAUGAGGCUGACGUAAGCAUUACAUGAAAUUUUGUAUACUUAUACCUAAUGUGCUUAGCACAGAAUACUUGGUGACAGCAGAUGCCCAAUGAGAGUUAUCAUAGAUAUUAUUUCAGAAUCAUGUGAAGAGUCAGAAGCCACCAAAUUCUUGAUUUCUGUCAAUAAACUGAUAUUCAUAUUCUGUUGAGUUUUUUUUGAUGCAUUUGUAAAAUAGGGAAACAAGAGCUGUAUGACUUCUAGCUAUGUCUGGUCAUGAAAUAGCAACCAGGAAUAAGGCCACAUGAUGUUUCUGAUGAACACUUCCCCCUGCCCUUUUUUUUUUUUCAGAUGGAGCCUCGCUCUGUCACCCAGGCUGGAGUGCAGUGGCACAAUCUCGGGUCACUGCAACCUCCGCCCCCCAGGUUCAAGCGAUUCUCCUGUCUCAGCCUCCCGAGUAGCUAGGAUUACAGGUGCACGCCACCAGGCCUGGCUAAUUUUUAUAUUUUUAGUAGAGAUGGGAUUUUGCCAUGUUGGCCAGGCUGGUCUCAAACUCCUGACCUCAGGUGACCCGUCCACCUUGGCCUCCCAAAGUGCUGGGACUACAGGUGUGAGCCACCAUGCCUGGUCCCCCACUUGUUGAUUUUGCAGAAAAGAUAGCUGUGUUACAACCUGUCCUAAGGUCAGGUAUGAAUACUUGUGCUUCUUUCUUGGCUCCCCAAGCCAGAGGGCAUUCCUAUGCCCAGGUGAGAGAGCACGGAGUGUUACUUUGGCAGCACAGUCAGUUACCAGAGGUAGGAAAAGCAAAGGCCAGGCAGGACAUGAAGGGCCCUUGCACUGGCUGGUUCUCCCUGCCUUCACCACCCUCCAGGUGAAUGACUGGGUGAAUAAUGAUUGACUGAGGAGGUAAUGAAUAAUUUAUGGACACUGCUGGACCUCAGUCUCCUCAUCUGAAAGAUGAGUGGUUGGAGAAGUUUAAUGGUUUUCAAAUGCUUUUUUUUUCAGUCUUCAAAUAAGUGUUUACGUAGAAGCACCAUAUCUGAAACAGGUGACAGUGGACCAGUCUGAAUGAAAUGAGGGUUGGCAGGCCUGAGCUCCAAAACCUUCUGAUUGCCCAAGCCCUCCUUGUCUUGCUUGGAUUAUCUCCACACAAAUGGAGAAACUGGACAAGGUGGUCAUGGAGGUCCCCGAAAGCUCAAAGACUCUCUCAUUCCAGGAUUCCCCAUGUUCAUAUGCCAGCAUGGCAUGGGGGUGCUCUGUAGUCAAGCAGGGUCCUUUGGGGGGCUUAGGGAUGGAGCCAGGAAAUGGCUCUGGGACUCAGCGGGUGUCCAGAGUCUCAUCAGCAGGGUUUCUUUACUUUCACUGAGUGGCUGGUGCCUGCGCACUGAGUUUUGUAGGCUUACUCUCACAGAGUGAGCUUCCUGCAGGCCCCCCACUGCAACCCCUUUCCUUCCUGGAGCUGUGUGCUGACUGGUGCGUGAGCACCCAGGCCCUCUCCCCAUGCUGCUGAUGGUCAGCUUUCUCUGCACGCUCGUGGUUGCCACAGUCAACGCUGAUAAAAUUGCUGAUGCAAAUUGCCUGCCCAGCUGCGAGUGCUGGCAUGGGACCAGCAGCCCAGACGGUCACUGGAAGUGGUUGGGCUGAUUAUUGGCAUCAUCUCCAUUGUCCUACUCAGUUCUUAAAGGCAUAUGGGCUUGCCUCACUCCUACAGCAAAUGACGGCAUGGGCAAAGAGGGGCAACAGACCCACCCUGAAGACACUCCUCAUCUGGUUGACUUGGGCAGGGUUAAGGGAAAAAGAUGUGAUGACUAGGAGCUGAGAGCUUAGUGGUUCUGCCAGAGCUGCAGAGUCUUUGUUGGCCUCGGGGUGGGACCUCUCACAUCUCUGUCAGCUUUUCACAGACACCAACCUGUUAUGAUUCAUUUCACCUGUCCUGAGCACUAGCAAGAAAAAUUCGCUGUAGCUUGUGAUGUAUUAUUCUGGAUUUCUCAACUCAUUCAUUUGUUCAUUCAUUCACUAUACCAUUACUGUCUAUUAUAAGGGGGGCACAAUGGUAGGUGCUGGGAAUAAAAACGAUGUUUAAUGUUU